GUUGUUCCUAGCACUGUGGGUGUGGCUUCUGUGUCACAAGUAUGUCAGUAGGUGGCAGAGAGGAGGGUGGUAGAGCUGGCCCUGGGGUCAUGAUAGUAGGAGAGCUAUCAACUCACC
This is a small nucleolar RNA of Rattus norvegicus (Norway rat), 117 nucleotides long. Ensembl annotates it as small nucleolar RNA SNORA17. NCBI's taxonomy places the organism in Eukaryota, Metazoa, Chordata, Mammalia, Rodentia, Muridae. The record is from Ensembl.